GACGAACGCUGGCGGCGUGCUUAACACAUGCAAGUCGAGCGGUAAGGCCCUUUCGGGGUACGACGAGCGGCGAACGGGUGAGUAACACGUGGGUGACCUGCCCUCCAGCUCUGGGAGUAAGCCUGGGAAACCGGGUCUAAUACUGGAUAUGACUCCAUGACGCAUGUUGUGGGGUGGAAAGCCUUGUGCGGCUGAGGAUGGGCCCGCGGCCUAUCAGCUUGUUGGUGGGGUGAGGCCUACCAAGGCGACGACGGGUAGCCGGCCUGAGAGGGCGACCGGCCACACUGGGACUGAGACACGGCCCAGACUCCUACGGGAGGCAGCAGUGGGGAAUCUUGCGCAAUGGGCGAAAGCCUGACGCAGCGACGCCGCGUGAGGGAUGACGGCCUGGUGUAA
This 396-nucleotide ribosomal RNA is filed under the name uncultured bacterium. RNAcentral's name for it is "bacterial SSU rRNA". It matches the Rfam family "Bacterial small subunit ribosomal RNA", at positions 28 to 428 of the family's 1533-position model. The record is from RNAcentral.